Molecule: unclassified non-coding RNA, 425 nt
Filed under: soil metagenome
Description: partial contains 5.8S ribosomal RNA, internal transcribed spacer 2, and large subunit ribosomal RNA
Rfam family: 5.8S ribosomal RNA (bases 1-120)
Source: RNAcentral
GAUGAAGAACGUAGCGAAAUGCGAUAAGUAGUGUGAAUUGCAGAAUUCCGUGAAUCAUCGAAUCUUUGAACGCACAUUGCGCCUUCUGGUAUUCCGGAAGGCAUGCCUGUUCGAGAGUCAUUAACAACCGUUUCGAUCCCUUUCUUUCAGAAAUUACAAAGAGGAAAAGGGUUUGGUUAUGGUGGAGGAGGGAAAGGGAGCGUUUAGCCUGUAAAAAAAGAGGCUGUGUUCCGCCUCCCCCCCAAAAUUGUACAGGCGGUCGUGUGCGCCCACGCAUCGAGGUGUUGUAAAAGCUGCCACGGCACUUUUCACCUGUGCAGUGCGAGAUUGGCCAGCCGGUUUAAAAACCCCUCCAAACAAUCAAAGGUUGACCUCGGAUCAGGCAGGGAUACCCGCUGAACUUAAGCAUAUCAAUAAGCGGAGGA